This is a long non-coding RNA of Oncorhynchus tshawytscha (Chinook salmon), 1278 nucleotides long. NCBI's taxonomy places the organism in Eukaryota, Metazoa, Chordata, Actinopteri, Salmoniformes, Salmonidae. The record is from Ensembl.
CUCACAUUUCCACGUUUAUUAGCUUUGGAAAGCGAAUUAAUGUCCAAAUCGUGAAAAUAAAACCUGUGCAAUGUUGUGCACAUUUUUUUUUCAACAUCAUGACACUUAUUUGGAGUCUGUGGCUCAAGUGGUUUGAAAGCGCGAAUAUCCUAUUUGUCUUUACCUCGGUUGUCAUUGGGUGAGUGACUGACUUCACCUCAUAUUGUUUUGUCGGUAGCUACAGUGAGAGAUGCAGGUGUCCUUUUGGUUAGCGAACAAGAAAUGUGAAUCGCUUUGCUAGCUAAUUAUGCUGAACGACUGUUAUCCACAGUUAUGUAUUUGGUAUCGAUCAAAUGGGCAGGCAGGAAGGCAAGUUCACAUUCAGUUGUCAAGACGUGGGUUUGGACAAACAUGCAUUGUCAGAUCCUGAGGACAAACAUCCUUCUGCAUCAAGGUCAACUUUUGUUUCUUUUCAAAGGGCCACAUUUUUGCCCCUUGCUAUGUCUAUAUUUGUCCCUCUCUCACAGUGCUGAAUACAUGCUAAAUGUAAUAACAUUGUCCAGGUCCUUUCUCAUGUUCAGACAGACUAUAUCCCACUACCUAAACUUGCGGUCAGCCUACAGCUAAUUCAUCCCUGCAACAGACUGAGCUGACCACCAUGCACUCUGAGGAUGGAUCUACGGUCGACGACAUCUUCUACUCCAAGGCUGGGCAAUUCUGGUGGAGGUCAACGGCAGAGCGGAGGUUUGAAGCUGCUUGGUCGUCUCUCCCCCCAAUUAGAGGAGGAUCUCUGGUCAAUGAAAGGUUUACCCAAUUAAUUGUUCCCUUCGGACCAUCUCAGUCUCCUGGCCAGGUUCCAGCUGGACUGAAACCCUGUGUAAUUUGGGCUGUUUGUGAUCAAUUAAUAAUCAGGAGGACCGAGGUCAAGUAUUUAAAAAUGUUUGUUCAAACUGUACAUGAUUUUCCCAUGGUGUGAUUCCAUGUUUUAUAAGUUCAUAAUUGUACUUAAUUGGUUCCUUGGGCUCACAUGGUUGUUUCCUACCUGAAGAGAAACUACUCAUCCCAAGGUCCAGAGGGGAUGGGAUGUCCUCUGAAGAAUUGUUUUUGUUUACAUGAAGAGAGAGCAAAACAAACCAAAAAGGUUGAAUUUAGUUCAAAGUUGGAAUUUAUUUGACAAAUUCUCUUACUGUUGAGAUUUGAAUGCAUGAAGCUUUUAGAUUUUAAAAGUUAAUAUUUUGUGAACAAACUGAGUAAACAAUCUGCUACACUAGUAAAUUAGAACAUUUAAAUCUUUACAAA